Small nucleolar RNA from Chinchilla lanigera (long-tailed chinchilla), 142 nucleotides. The record is from Ensembl. Lineage: Eukaryota; Metazoa; Chordata; Mammalia; Rodentia; Chinchillidae.
CUCCAAGGUGAUUCCCUCUCCAAGGGGCCAACUAGUGCCCCUUUCAGGAAAGUAGCAACUUGGAAGAGAAUAUGGCAUGCCUAAGGUCUCUGGGAGACAGGGGAUUCUUGUUUCCUUUACCUUCCUUUGGAUGCCUACAGGU